RNAcentral lists this ribosomal RNA (238 nucleotides) under uncultured bacterium. Its description in RNAcentral is "partial 16S ribosomal RNA". It matches the Rfam family "Bacterial small subunit ribosomal RNA", at positions 118 to 347 of the family's 1533-position model. The record is from RNAcentral.
UGAGGAACAUGACCUUCGGCGGGGGAUAGCCGGCCCAACGGCCGGGUAAUACCGCGUACGACCACAUGGGGACAUCCCUGAGUGGUGAAAGCAGCAAUGCGCCGAUGGAGUGCCUCGCGGCCUAUCAGCUAGGUUGGUGAGGUAAUGGCUCACCAAGGCGACGGCGGGUAGCCGGCCUGAGAGGGUGACCGGCCACACUGGGACUGAGACACCGGCCCAGACCUCCGUACGGGAGCAG